Non-coding RNA from Triticum aestivum (bread wheat), 115 nucleotides. The record is from Rfam. NCBI's taxonomy places the organism in Eukaryota, Viridiplantae, Streptophyta, Magnoliopsida, Poales, Poaceae.
CAGCUAUUCCUUUCGUUUUAAAUUACUUGUCGCAUGUAUGAAUAUAUCUAGAUAUAUUUUAGUUCUAGAUACAUUUAUUUCUACGGCGAGUAAUUUAGAACGGAGGGAGUAGAUG